GAGUUUGAUCGUGGCUCAGAGUGAACGCUGGCGGCAGGCCUAACACAUGCAAGUCGAACGGCAGCACAGCAGUAGCAAUACUGUGGGUGGCGAGUGGCGGACGGGUGAGGAAUACAUGGGAAUCUGCCCUGUCGUGGGGGAUAACGUAGGGAAACUUACGCUAAUACCGCAUACGACCGAGAGGUGAAAGCGGCGGACCGCAAGGCGUCGCGCGAUUGGAUGAGCCCAUGUCGGAUUAGCUAGUUGGCGGGGUAAAGGCCCACCAAGGCGACGAUCCGUAGCUGGUCUGAGAGGAUGAUCAGCCAUACUGGGACUGAGACACGGCCCAGACUCCUACGGGAGGCAGCAGUGGGGAAUCUUGGACAAUGGGCGCAAGCCUGAUCCAGCCAUGCCGCGUGAGUGAAGAAGGCCUUAGGGUUGUAAAACUCUUUCGCCGGAGAAGAUAAUGACGGUAUCCGGAGAAGAAGCCCCGGCUAACUUCGUGCCAGCCGCCGCCGUAAG
Molecule: ribosomal RNA, 501 nt
Filed under: uncultured Gammaproteobacteria bacterium
Lineage: Bacteria; Pseudomonadati; Pseudomonadota; Gammaproteobacteria
Description: bacterial SSU rRNA
Rfam family: Bacterial small subunit ribosomal RNA
Source: RNAcentral